RNAcentral lists this long non-coding RNA (2222 nucleotides) under Jatropha curcas. RNAcentral describes it as "long non-coding RNA (JCUR_LNC003349)". Lineage: Eukaryota; Viridiplantae; Streptophyta; Magnoliopsida; Malpighiales; Euphorbiaceae. The record is from RNAcentral.
GAUUCUCCGAUUCUGAUUGUUCCCGUCUCUCUGUUGUUCGCUCUUGUUCCCCCCUGAAUCUUCCCAAUUGCAGCCAUUGUUCAUGGGAAUGCAAACUUAUUAAGAACCCAGUUCAGCUUCUCCAUGGUUGCGGAUCUAGUCAUCUACCUAUUUCUGAGCAAGGUUGCCAGCCGAACAUUUUAGAGUAUCUUGACCAGUUUCUAACAGUUGGGCUUCAUGUUGAAUACGAUGAAUCUCAAGAUUCUUACUUUUCUAGUUGCAGAGUGUGUAAAUCCAAGAAUGGUAUCUGUGGGUUCAAUUCUUCAGACCCGGAUAAGCGAUUCCUCUGUUUUCUGCCUAAAUCGCGAUUCUCGCCUCCAUGGAUUCACGAAGAUGAUGCAAAUCGAAUCGCGAUAUUAUGUUCAAUCUUCACGGUAUUAUGCUUAUUGCUUGCCGUUCUAGUUAUUGCAGCUAUUUACAGGUCUAAGCGUCUAAGAGCAUUAGCCUCGGAAGAAGACCCAACAAUACUAUUCCUUCACCGCCACCGCUCCGCGAGUCUACUUCCACCUGUAUUCACCUACGAGGAACUUGAAUCUUCAACAAAUCGGUUCGACCCAAAGCGAAAGAUUGGCGACGGCGGUUUCGGGUCUGUGUACUUAGGCCACCUCUACGAUGGCAGAGUUGUGGCUGUUAAAUACCUCCAUAAACAGCAACACCACCACGCGGCAGCUGCAGGCAAAGCAUUCUCUACCAAGUCAUUCUGCAAUGAAAUCCUGAUAUUAUCUUCAAUAGAUCAUCCAAAUCUGGUCAAGCUCUACGGGUACUGCAGCGACCCGAGAGGUCUACUUCUAGUAUAUGACUAUGUCCCGAAUGGCACUCUCGCUGACCAUCUGCACGGGCCAAAGGGCUUGCAUCGCAAAGGGCGUUUAACAUGGCAAGUAAGGCUCGACAUUGCAUUGCAAACGGCUCUAGCUUUAGAGUACUUGCAUUUCGCCGUCCAUCCGGCGAUCGUUCAUAGAGAUAUAACUUCUUCAAAUAUUUUUAUAGAGAAAGAUAUGAGAAUUAAAGUUGGAGACUUCGGACUUUCCAGGCUUCUGGUUUUUCCCGAAACGUCGUCAUCUUCGUCUGGUUACGUUUGGACCGGACCUCAAGGUACCCCUGGAUACUUGGAUCCGGAUUACCACCGGUCUUUCCGGUUAACCGAGAAAAGCGACGUGUAUAGUUUUGGGGUGGUUUUGUUAGAGUUGAUUUCUGGGUUGAAAGCGGUGGAUCAGAGUAGGGACAAAAGAGAGAUGGCGUUAGCGGAUUUAGUAGUAUCCAAGAUCCAAAUGGGUCAGCUCCAUCAAGUAGUGGACCCAGUAUUGAUUGUUGAAGGGGAGGCGAAGGAGAGUAUUUAUGCGGCGGCGGAGCUAGCGUUCCGCUGUGUGGCGGCGGAUAAGGAUGAUAGGCCAGAUUCGAAGGAGGUAGUGGAGGAGCUAGAGCGGAUCCGGAGUUGCACGCGUGGGUUUGGCGGGGCGAAUAAUUCGAAUGGAGGGGAAGGUGACGUGGCAAAAGGAUGAUUAAUUGAUUGAUUGAAGGAAGGGUUACGUGUAGUGUGAUGCUGUUUUUUUAAUAUCGUUUUUGCAGGUGGUGAUGCAUGUACUUUGAGUUCGAAUGAAAUUCCCAGAUCCUCAUGUCCUCCAUUUUCAUCCACUCCUCCUUUUCCUUUCUCUAUAUCGCCUGGCUGUGGUCAUCCUUCUUUUCAACUAAAAUGCUCUUUACCUUACUCUACUAUCUCCAUUAACGACUUUUCUUUCUCUGUUAUUGAAUUUGAACCCAACUCUUCCUCUCUCACUCUCUCUCCUCAAACCCAUCAUUCUUUUACAUCUACAGAAACUACAACUAACAGUAAUUGCUCUUCUCUUUCAAUUCCUACCCGUUCGAUCAAUCUCUCUGGUUCUCCAUUUCGAUUCUCCGAUUCUGAUUGUUCCCGUCUCUCUGUUGUUCGCUCUUGUUCCCCCCUGAAUCUUCCCAAUUGCAGCCAUUGUUCAUGGGAAUGCAAACUUAUUAAGAACCCAGUUCAGCUUCUCCAUGGUUGCGGAUCUAGUCAUCUACCUAUUUCUGAGCAAGGUUGCCAGCCGAACAUUUUAGAGUAUCUUGACCAGUUUCUAACAGUUGGGCUUCAUGUUGAAUACGAUGAAUCUCAAGAUUCUUACUUUUCUAGUUGCAGAGUGUGUAAAUCCAAGAAUGGUAUCUGUGGGUUC